GCUGGGUAGCUAUGUACGGAAUGGAUAAGCGCUGAAAGCAUCUAAGCGCGAAGCCAACUUCAAGAUAAGAUUUCCCACCGCAAGGGUAAGACCCCAGAAAGACUAUCUGGUUGAUAGGUCGAAGGUGUAAGUGCAGCAAUGUAUUUAGCUUAUCGAUACUAAUAGGUCGAGGACUUGACCAAU
This 183-nucleotide ribosomal RNA is filed under the name Clostridioides difficile. Its description in RNAcentral is "partial 23S ribosomal RNA". It matches the Rfam family "Bacterial large subunit ribosomal RNA", at positions 2740 to 2925 of the family's 2925-position model. The record is from RNAcentral. Lineage: Bacteria; Bacillati; Bacillota; Clostridia; Peptostreptococcales; Peptostreptococcaceae.